UGUGUAGGCGGUUGCUUAAGUUUGGUGUGAAAUCUCCCGGCUCAACUGGGAGGGUGCGCCGAAUACUGAGUGACUCGAGUGCGGGAGAGGAAAGUGGAAUUCCUGGUGUAGCGGUGAAAUGCGUAGAUAUCAGGAGGAACACCGGUGGUGUAGACGGCUUUCUGGACCGUAACUGACGCUGAGACACGAAAGCGUGGGUAGCAAACAGGAUUAGAUACCCUGGUAGUCCACGCCCUAAACGAUGCACAUUUGGUGUAGGUCAUUCAGUUGAUCCGUGCCGGAGCUAACGCGUUAAAUGUGCCGCCUGGGGAGUACAGUCGCAAGGCUGAA
RNAcentral lists this ribosomal RNA (330 nucleotides) under uncultured bacterium. RNAcentral describes it as "bacterial SSU rRNA". It matches the Rfam family "Bacterial small subunit ribosomal RNA", at positions 568 to 898 of the family's 1533-position model. The record is from RNAcentral.